Molecule: ribosomal RNA, 454 nt
Filed under: uncultured soil bacterium
Lineage: Bacteria
Description: bacterial SSU rRNA
Rfam family: Bacterial small subunit ribosomal RNA
Source: RNAcentral
AGAGUGAACGCUGGCGGUAGGCCUAACACAUGCAAGUCGAACGGCAGCACGGUAAGAGCUUGCUCUUAUGGGUGGCGAGUGGCGGACGGGUGAGGAAUACAUCGGAAUCUACCUUUUGGUGGGGGAUAACGUAGGGAAACUUACGCUAAUACCGCAUACGCCCUUCGGGGGAAAGCCGGGGACCAGCAAUGGCCUGGCGCUGAUAGAUGAGCCGAUGUCGGAUUAGCUAGUUGGUGAGGUAAUGGCUCACCAAGGCGACGAUCCGUAGCUGGUCUGAGAGGAUGAUCAGCCACACUGGAACUGAGACACGGUCCAGACUCCGUAACGGGAGGCAGCAGUGGGGAAUAUUGGACAAUGGGCGCAAGCCUGAUCCAGCCAUACCGCGUGGUGAAGAAGGCCUUCGGGUUGUAAAGUCCCUUUUGUAGGGAAAGAAAGCUAUUCGGUUAAUACCCGG